This is a long non-coding RNA of Gallus gallus (chicken), 1048 nucleotides long. NCBI's taxonomy places the organism in Eukaryota, Metazoa, Chordata, Aves, Galliformes, Phasianidae. The record is from Ensembl.
CCAUACUUUGUGUAAAAUAAAAUAAUAAGGUACUGAUAGUAAUGAAGGAGUUAAAUGAAAGAGCUCCCCUCAGAAAAAGGCUGAGUUACAACCCAGGUAAUUUCUGUACUUAAGAUUGGGGUUUUUUUUCAGCGUCUCUGCACAUUCAGGUUUGACCUUUUGUUUGUUUGUUCUCUUUGUCUUCUGUUGUUGUUUGGGUUUUUGCUGCUGUUUGUUCAUUUCGCUUUUACAGUCUAAUCUUUCGCAUAAUGGGACAGACACACAGCCUUCACUGGAAGACUCCCCCCAUCCUGUUGCAAUAUUCAUAAAGCUGUGCUUUUUAAACAUGCUGCAAGAUAGUCUUAGUAAGACAAAAGACAUCAUAAUUUAUUGUUCCAAGAUUAUUGAUUCAAUAAACUAACAACAAUUUCCGUGGAGAUUAAGAGCCCUGGGACUGUAAAAGUUUAUUUAUCUGAGCUUUAACUAGCUUUGAUUCGAGUAUUCAAAUUGUCCCAGUACUAUAUAAUUGCUCUCUAUAGGUAAAAUGCCCUCUGCUGUGCAGGAGACACUAAAAUAAACAUUCAGCCAGAAGUGACAAUGGCUCCUUUAAAAGGUUGAAAGGAAAUGAGACACAUCCCAGAUCAAAUCCUGCCCAGAAUGAACAACUUGACUGCGUUAUCCUGGACACUUUAUCCCAAAACAAUCCACACUGGAGAAUGCAGUUGGUGGUGGUGGCCUCACGUGGCAUAGAAAUAGCUCAGCUCUCAGCAUAAGGGCUGAUUUUUGGAGGGUUAAUAGGUCAAAAAAAUCUAUUACUGAGAUUUACAAAAAGAAAUAUUUUUGUUGUCUUUAGUCUGCUUCCACUGCCUGCGUAGAGUGAAUUUUUUCCUUCUCAAUUUUCAUGGGAUCAAAGGCAGGUCAGUACUGAGCAUCUGGAGAUCUUGUCCAGUAUCACUGAAAGAUGAAAGCAUUUGGUAAAUAAAUUGUUAAGUGUCUGUUUUUACCGAAGUAUUAACAAGAGUACUGCCCCUAGCAUGAAUCUUACUGACACAAAAGGCUCCUUAGCUAU